This 361-nucleotide long non-coding RNA is filed under the name Ornithorhynchus anatinus (platypus). RNAcentral describes it as "lncRNA (ENSOANG00000045299.1)". The record is from RNAcentral. Lineage: Eukaryota; Metazoa; Chordata; Mammalia; Monotremata; Ornithorhynchidae.
UAUUUCACCAUUGGGUUGUUUGGCAUUGUUUUGCUUUUGUUUUCUCUCAACUCUGUUUGUUUUCUAGGAAUUUAGAGGCAAAGUAAGAAAAAAUAGUGGCUGGUCUCCAGCUCCCAGAAGAUGCCAGAAGAUGCUUCAGACAGGAUCCUAGCGAAGAGUGGAGUCUGCAGGCGAGAAGUUGGAUGAAUGUGAAGCUGGCCACCCUGAAUACCCCCUACCCCCUGGGUAGAAAAAAUUCCAGACAUUGCUGAAGAGAGAGGUAUUUUUUUUUCAUUCAAAAGUAGGGAACUGGUGGUGGAAAGUUCCUUUGUUAGUCUCUGAGUCAUCGAGUCUUCUAAGGGGCUCUCUCUGUUUGUGUGCU